CGGGACGGGUGAGUAAUGUCUGGGAAACUGCCCGAUGGAGGGGGAUAACUACUGGAAACGGUAGCUAAUACCGCAUAACGUCGCAAGACCAAAGAGGGGGACCUUCGGGCCUCUUGCCAUCGGAUGUGCCCAGAUGGGAUUAGCUAGUAGGUGGGGUAAUGGCUCACCUAGGCGACGAUCCCUAGCUGGUCUGAGAGGAUGACCAGCCACACUGGAACUGAGACACGGUCCAG
This 233-nucleotide ribosomal RNA is filed under the name uncultured bacterium. RNAcentral describes it as "partial 16S ribosomal RNA". It matches the Rfam family "Bacterial small subunit ribosomal RNA", at positions 100 to 334 of the family's 1533-position model. The record is from RNAcentral.